CAGCAGCCUCGGUAAUACGUAGGGUGCGAGCGUUAAUCGGAAUUACUGGGCGUAAAGCGUGCGCAGGCGGUUCGUUAAGACAGAUGUGAAAUCCCCGGGCUUAACCUGGGAACUGCAUUUGUGACUGGCGAGCUAGAGUAUGGCAGAGGGGGGUAGAAUUCCACGUGUAGCAGUGAAAUGCGUAGAGAUGUGGAGGAAUACCGAUGGCGAAGGCAGCCCCCUGGGCCAAUACUGACGCUCAUGCACGAAAGCGUGGGGAGCAAACAGGAUUAGAUACCCCAGUAGUCCCUGUCUCUUAUAC
RNAcentral lists this ribosomal RNA (301 nucleotides) under uncultured bacterium. RNAcentral describes it as "partial 16S ribosomal RNA". It matches the Rfam family "Bacterial small subunit ribosomal RNA", at positions 509 to 807 of the family's 1533-position model. The record is from RNAcentral.